This 354-nucleotide unclassified non-coding RNA is filed under the name uncultured fungus. Its description in RNAcentral is "partial contains 5.8S ribosomal RNA and internal transcribed spacer 2". The stretch from base 1 to 133 matches the Rfam family "5.8S ribosomal RNA", at positions 22 to 154 of the family's 154-position model. The record is from RNAcentral. Lineage: Eukaryota; Fungi.
UGGCUCUGGCAUCGAUGAAGAACGCAGCGAAAUGCGAUAAGUAAUGCGAAUUGCAGAAUUUAGUGAAUCAUCGAAUCUUUGAACGCACAUUGCGCCCGCCAGUACUCUGGCGGGCAUGCCUGUCCGAGCGUCACUACAACCCUCGUGCCCCCUCCGGGGGGCGCGGUGUUGGACGUCGGCGAGCCGCAAACCCCGCUGGGGGCGAGCGACGCCGUGUCCCAAAUGCAGUGGCGGCCCCGCCGCGCCUUCCCUUGCGUAGUACUGCACGUCGCACUGGAGGGAGCGGCCCGGCCACGCCGUAAAACCCCCGACCUUCUCACGGUUGACCUCGGAUCAGGUAGGACUACCCGCUGA